This 21-nucleotide non-coding RNA is filed under the name Arabidopsis thaliana (thale cress). Lineage: Eukaryota; Viridiplantae; Streptophyta; Magnoliopsida; Brassicales; Brassicaceae. The record is from RNAcentral.
UCAGUUUGAUGUCACCGUUUC